UUUUUUCUUUAAUUGAAAUGGACAUAAAUGCUGAGACUCUAAGAGACUAGAGCGCCAUUCAUUGCUAUUCCAGGAAGCAUUCCUGGAGGCCAGGUGCCCACCAGCCAGCCUGCAUUGGGCCCUGCAGGGUACAAAGACUGGAAGAUAAGCCUCUUCCUCUGAAUGAUAGAUGCCUACGGGCCCCACCUACUUACAAAGAACCCUCAGAUGAUUCUGUCAGCCAAGGAAGGGGCCUAACAGUGACUUACACAUCUCUGCAAAGACACUCAUGGAAACUACCAUACUAAUGAACAUAGUCCUUUAUUCAUCAACGUAAACAGAAAACCAAAGAUUGCAAAUAUAUUAGGAAAACCAACAGCAUGGAAGAGAAGAUCCAAGUUGGACCAAUAGAAAAAUUGACCUUGGAGGAAACAGAGAUAAUUUAGGAAAGAAAGAUUUUAUAAAAAUUGUGGUCACUAUCUUCAGAAUAAUUUGAGAAGAUGCUGCAUUCAAGAACUGAGAAGAGGUGGCUAUGGGAAAGGAACAAGCAAAGAACAAGAAAAGAUUCUUGGGAAUUAAAAGUGGGAUUGCAAUAGGGAACACUCAAUAAGUGCGCCAAAUAAUAAAUUGGAUGCAGCGAAAGACCAAGCAGUUGAUCUGGAAUCAAGGAAUCUCAGAAUGUAGAGCAAGAAAAACAAAGAGACAGCAAACAUAAGAGAGUGCCAAGGACAGACACAGAGAUCCAGCAUCUGUCUGAUUAGGAAAGAACAGAGAAAAUGAAAGAGAGAGAAUACCCAAAGAAGUCACAGAACAACAUUUUCUUAAGCUCAAGAAAUAUGUGAGUCUUUAAGACUGAAAGUGUUCACUGAACAAAAUUAAGGUAAAAGGGUUAAACUCUUAGGCAUGGUGGCUCAUGCCUAUAAUCCCAGCACUUUGGGAGGCUAAGGCAGGAGGAUCACUUGAGCCCAGAAUUUCAAGACUAGCCUGGGCAAUAUGGUGAGACCCCAUCUGUACAAAAAAUUUAAAAAUUAGCCAGGCGUGAUGUCGCACACCUGUAGUCCCAGUUACUCAGAAGGCUGAGGUGGGAGGAUCACUCAAAUCUGGGAGGUGGAGGCUGCAGUGAACUAUGAUUGCACCACUGCACUCCAGCCUGGGGCAACACAGUGAGACCCUGCCUCAAUAAAAAGAAAAAAAUAAGAUUAAACCUCCCUCACUAGCAUUCUCAGUUCUCCUUACUCUAUUUAUUCCUUUUUUUGAUAGCACUAUAUAAUACUAGCACACUACAUAAUUGUCUUAUGCAUUAUGCAUAUUAUUUAUGACCUGUCUCCCCUGCUAGAAUGUAAGUUCCAGGAGGGCAGGAAUCUUUGAUUUGUUCCCUAAUGAAGCCCAGCACCUUGAACAGUGCCUUGCACCCUGGAGCCAUCAGUAAAGAUACGUCAAAUUGAAUUAAAAUCCAGACACAUCUUGGUACAAUUUCACAACUCCAAAUAUAAAUGGGAAAUCUUAAAAUCUUGGGGAUUUCCUAGAAAGAAAAAGAAACAGAACUUUCACCUGACAUGAACAACAUUGGAUCCUGGACAACAAUGAAUAACAUAACAUCUUCAUAGUUAGCAAGGAAGAAAAGCUUGGUACAAUCUAAACCCUGCCGAAGUACCAGUUAUUUGUAAAGGCAAUCGUAGGGCAUUUUCAGACAUACAAGAACUUGGAACAUUUACUGUUCAUAUUCCUUGGAUGACAAAAUUAUUCAAACAUAUUUUCCAGCAAAAAUUAAAGGAGGGUCCAAGAAAAAGGACAACAUGGGAUACAAGAAAUUGAAACCCCAAAGAAGUGAAAGAAGCCAGCAAGAGAUUAAGAGGAUUCAUCAUUUUCAGAUGCCCAAAAGGAUUUCCUUGGACCAACAUUUCAAAUGGCAUGAGGAUUUACAUUUAUUAAUAUUCCCUGGCUCCAGUCAUAUUAAUUGGUUCUUUUUUUAAUGGGGGUUUUCCAGUAAAAAAAAACAAAAAACAAACAAACAAAAAAAAGAAAACCUGCUAGACAAAUUCUAAAAGAGCUGUAACAAUUGGUUAUUUAGUUAAUAAUAUUUACAUAGUCACAAAGCUGAAAUGCUAUUUAAAAGUUUUUAAUUUUUGAAACAAUUAUAGGCAAAACAUAGAAAACUUACUUGGAGUUACAAAAUAAAAUGUAAAUUUUAUAAACGUUUACCCUGUAAGAACAGUAACUGACAAAAAUUGAGGUGAGGGCA
This is a long non-coding RNA of Homo sapiens (human), 2221 nucleotides long. NCBI's taxonomy places the organism in Eukaryota, Metazoa, Chordata, Mammalia, Primates, Hominidae. The record is from Ensembl.